GACGAACGCUGGCGGCGUGCCUAAUACAUGCAAGUCGAGCGCAGGAAAUCGAUGGAACCCUUCGGGGGGAAGUCGACGGAAUGAGCGGCGGACGGGUGAGUAACACGUAAAGAACCUACCCUCAGGUCUGGGAUAACGACGAGAAAUCGGGGCUAAUACCGGAGGGGUCAUCGGACCGCAUUGUCCGAGGAUGAGAGGCGCCUCGGCGUCGCCUCGGGAUGGCUUUGCGGUUCAUUAGCUAGUUGGUGGGGUAAUGGCCCACCAAGGCGACGAUGCAUAGCCGACCUGGGAGGGUGAUCGGCCACACUGGGACUGAGACACGGCCCAGACUCCUACGGGAGGCAGCAGUAGGGAAUCUUCCACAAUGGACGAAAGUCUGAUGGAGCAACGCCGCGUGAACGAUGAAGGCCUUCGGGUCGUAAAGUUCUGUUGUAAGGGAAGAACAAGUGCCGCAGGCAAUGGCGGCACCUUGACGGUACCUUGCGAGAAAGCCACGGCUAACUACGUGCCAGCCGCCGCGGUAA
Molecule: ribosomal RNA, 524 nt
Filed under: uncultured bacterium
Lineage: Bacteria
Description: partial 16S ribosomal RNA
Rfam family: Bacterial small subunit ribosomal RNA
Source: RNAcentral